GAUGAACGCUGGCGGCGUGCCUAAUACAUGCAAGUCGAGCGAACGGACGAGAAGCUUGCUUUUCUGAUGUUAGCGGCGGACGGGUGAGUAACACGUGGAUAACCUACCUAUAAGACUGGGAUAACUUCGGGAAACCGGAGCUAAUACCGGAUAAUAUUUUGAACCGCAUGGUUCAAAAGUGAAAGACGGUCUUGCUGUCACUUAUAGAUGGAUCCGCGCUGCAUUAGCUAGUUGGUAAGGUAACGGCUUACCAAGGCAACGAUGCAUAGCCGACCUGAGAGGGUGAUCGGCCACACUGGAACUGAGACACGGUCCAGACUCCUACGGGAGGCAGCAGGAGGGAAUCUUCCGCAAUGGGCGAAAGCCUGACGGAGCAACGCCGCGUGAGUGAUGAAGGUCUUCGGAUCGUAAAACUCUGUUAUUAGGGAAGAACAUAUGUGUAAGUAACUGUGCACAUCUUGACGGUACCUAAUCAGAAAGCCACGGCUAACUACGUG
This 497-nucleotide ribosomal RNA is filed under the name uncultured bacterium. Its description in RNAcentral is "partial 16S ribosomal RNA". It matches the Rfam family "Bacterial small subunit ribosomal RNA", at positions 28 to 507 of the family's 1533-position model. The record is from RNAcentral.